Molecule: long non-coding RNA, 247 nt
Organism: Cucurbita maxima (winter squash)
Lineage: Eukaryota; Viridiplantae; Streptophyta; Magnoliopsida; Cucurbitales; Cucurbitaceae
Exons: 2
Source: RefSeq, a predicted model, not a curated record
UUAUCAAUACACUAAAAUUAUACAUAUAUGUAUCAUUUGCUUUAGUUUGUGUUGCCAUUCUGAAGUGGAUGGUAAAUGAUCUUGCUGAGCGAAAGGAUCAAGAGAUGUAAUAAAAGGAGGCAUGCUGAUAUGAUAUUCCAAUGUUAAAGUCAAAGUGAGUUUAACCGGUAUGUAAUAGACAUACCUUCGAUCGAAAGGUCGAGGUUUGAAUCUUCAGGUUAAAUAAAUUUAUCUUUUCUUUAUUUUA